Non-coding RNA from Salvia hispanica, 326 nucleotides. Lineage: Eukaryota; Viridiplantae; Streptophyta; Magnoliopsida; Lamiales; Lamiaceae. The record is from RefSeq and is a predicted model, not a curated record.
CUCACAUGACCACCAUACAAACCUCACUUAGCUUCCCCGCCGGCAUCACUUCCCAUCGGCUUCCACACCGGCUGCCACCCCCGUCAAGGAGAUGUCGUCGCCUUGCUUGUAAUAGCUCCAAGGGUGGAACAGGGAUGGUCGGGUUUCAUGCCAUCGAACUACAAGUUCGAGAAUAUGAGUUGGAUCAAUUUGGAGUUGUGAAUAAUGCUGUUUAUGCCAAUUACUGUGAGACUAGUAUGUUCCAAGUCUUCCAUAUGGUUGGAUUUAGUGAUGAAGCAAUACCAGCACUCCUUGAAUCGUCAUACAAAUUCAGUUCGCCUUUAAGG